UACGCAGGCGGCUUUGCAAGACAGGUGUGAAAUCCCCGGGCCUAACCUGGGAACUGCAUUUGUGACUGCAUAGCUAGAGUCUGUCAGAGGGGGGUGGAAUUCCACGUGCAGCAGUGAAAUGCGUAGAGAUGUGGAAGAACACCGAUGGCGAAGGCAGCCCCCUGGGAUGAGACUGAGCUCAUGUACGAAAGCGUGGGGAGCAAACA
Molecule: ribosomal RNA, 206 nt
Filed under: uncultured bacterium
Lineage: Bacteria
Description: partial 16S ribosomal RNA
Rfam family: Bacterial small subunit ribosomal RNA
Source: RNAcentral